This 474-nucleotide ribosomal RNA is filed under the name Platygastridae sp. RNAcentral describes it as "partial large subunit ribosomal RNA". The record is from RNAcentral. Lineage: Eukaryota; Metazoa; Arthropoda; Insecta; Hymenoptera; Platygastridae.
CAAGAGUACGUGAAACCGUUUAGGGGUAAACCUGAGAAACCCGAAAGAUCGAAUGAGGAGAUUCAUCGUCAGCGUGAUUGGUUUCCAUGCAUUUCGCGAUGAAGAUGGAAUUUAUUUCAAAUUCACGCAUUUGCUGUGGUUAUAUCUGAUUACGUCGGCGUGCACUUCUCCUCUAGUAGAACGUUGCGACCCGCUGGGUGUUGGCUUAAGAACCAAGCUGUAGACUGUUUUUGUUUGUUUACGCAUUCAUUGGCAGACACUUGUGUUUCUGGCUGACUGCUUGGCGGUACAAACAAGAUAUUGAGCCGCACUUUUUGGAAUGCGUUCAGACUCAUUUACAAGCUAAUUAUUUUAAAUAACUUGAGGGUGCGGACCUAGUGCCGUCCUUGAGGGUAAUUGGCUGUUAGUUAAUGAUGUUCUCGAACUGGCUAAAAUUGAAAUAACAAUAUCGGUCAGCGACGCUAUUGCUUUGGG